GGUUUCUUCAAAGAAAAGCUCGCAUUCAAAUUUGGCUUUUUGAGCAGAAGGAUUUGAGGAUUGAAGGGUGUAUCAUC
Telopea speciosissima is the source of this 77-nucleotide long non-coding RNA. RefSeq lists it as uncharacterized. The record is from RefSeq and is a predicted model, not a curated record. Lineage: Eukaryota; Viridiplantae; Streptophyta; Magnoliopsida; Proteales; Proteaceae. The transcript has 3 exons.